Macrobrachium nipponense is the source of this 268-nucleotide long non-coding RNA. RefSeq lists it as uncharacterized. NCBI's taxonomy places the organism in Eukaryota, Metazoa, Arthropoda, Malacostraca, Decapoda, Palaemonidae. The record is from RefSeq and is a predicted model, not a curated record. The transcript is spliced from 3 exons.
AGGUCUUGCGACUUUUUACGCUAACCUGGCACUCAAACGACGCCGAAAUCUGCAUACGACGGAACUGGCUUUGGACACAGCAACGACGUCGGAGUUCCCCAAGUGGAUAUUCUGGGCCCCCGCAGUUUGCGACAUGACAGCAACAUCCCUCAUGUUCGUGGGUCUGAUCUUCACUUAUGCCAGUUCUUUUCAGAUGCUCAGAGGAGCCGUGAUUGUCUUCACCGGCCUGAUGUCGGUGGCGUUCCUCACCGCCGUUUGAGGUACUACC